Long non-coding RNA from Aquila chrysaetos chrysaetos, 537 nucleotides. RefSeq lists it as uncharacterized. NCBI's taxonomy places the organism in Eukaryota, Metazoa, Chordata, Aves, Accipitriformes, Accipitridae. The transcript has 2 exons. The record is from RefSeq and is a predicted model, not a curated record.
CAGCAUCACCUCCACGUCCUGUGUCCCCUGCCCAAGUUAUUCCCGGCCCUGUGCUUCUGCCUGGAGCUGGGCAGGGGUCCGGGUUCGCUCCCUGGCUGCGGAGGAGGCAGCACAGACUCCGCUGCAGGAUCCUUGUGCCCGACAUGGCGGGGAAGAUUUUGGCACCAGUUCUGGCAGGCAGAGACCUGAGGCAGCGCUGCUGUCUGCAGCCCCCAGCAUGCCAAGGGAUAAGGGUCCAGUAGCAGGACAGAGGAUCACAGGCUGCAUCCCCAGGAGGACGCCCUUGUCCCCGUGCCAUGGGGAUGUGCCAGUUUGGGGGCACUGGGGGACCACGUCCUCCCCAGGGCUGGAGCACUGGGUGUCGGGCAGUGGGAACCAACUCGCGGACGCUGGGGAGCCUGGAGAUUUGCUGGGCAGCGCUGGGCUGGAGCCCCAGCUUUGCUGCUGCCACUGUGAGCGAGUCCCUGCUUGGCUCCGUGCCUCAGUUUCCCCUCUCUUAGAGAGACUUCAGCCCUCAGUAAAGGCAAUUUUCAUUCA